CACAGUGCACCUAUUCGGCCAACGGCGGCGGCACAUACACUUGAUCACUAUAAACAAAUCAUUUGUGCAGAUCGUCCGGCAAAAGCUGAAGGUUCACACGUUGUCCUCGACGGAAAGCCGAAAUAUUACUACUUCUCUUUACAUUUCCAUACCUGUCGUCUCCUGCCUACAUGAACUUCAAAGAAAACGCAGAUUGUUCCAUUGCGUGCGGUAAUUUUUCCCUCUCCUGCUUCAAGCAAUGUUUUACACAUCUGAAGCACAGCUUCGACCAUUGUAUCAAAUACUGCAAAUAUUACAUGAAGCAAUGCGAUUUCUUCUGCUUUUGUAUAGAUUGUAAAGGCAGCUUGCGGCCACCAAAUCCUAGACGAUUCGUUUAUACAAAACUAACUAAAUCAAGACUAACUAAAUCUCGAAAACCUUCAGAGGAAAUAUCUAAUCUUUCUAAACCUAAAGGAAAGUCCUUGGAAUAAAUUUUGUUCAUGAAA
Molecule: long non-coding RNA, 485 nt
Organism: Octopus bimaculoides (California two-spot octopus)
Lineage: Eukaryota; Metazoa; Mollusca; Cephalopoda; Octopoda; Octopodidae
Source: RefSeq, a predicted model, not a curated record